CUUGCUGAAUUAUUCACCCUUGUCUUUUGCGUACUUCUUGUUUCCUUGGUGGGUUCGCCCACCACUAGGACAAACAUAAACCUUUUGUAAUUGCAAUCAGCGUCAGUAACAAAUUAAUAAUUACAACUUUCAACAACGGAUCUCUUGGUUCUGGCAUCGAUGAAGAACGCAGCGAAAUGCGAUAAGUAGUGUGAAUUGCAGAAUUCAGUGAAUCAUCGAAUCUUUGAACGCACAUUGCGCCCUUUGGUAUUCCAAAGGGCAUGCCUGUUCGAGCGUCAUUUGUACCCUCAAGCUUUGCUUGGUGUUGGGCGUCUUGUCUCUAGCUUUGCUGGAGACUCGCCUUAAAGUAAUUGGCAGCCGGCCUACUGGUUUCGGAGCGCAGCACAAGUCGCACUCUCUAUCAGCAAAGGUCUAGCAUCCAUUAAGCCUUUUUUUCAACUUUUGACCUCGGAUCAGGUAGGGAUACCCGCUGAACUUAAGCAUAUCAAUAA
This 491-nucleotide ribosomal RNA is filed under the name Alternaria sp. Its description in RNAcentral is "eukaryotic LSU rRNA". The stretch from base 125 to 278 matches the Rfam family "5.8S ribosomal RNA". Lineage: Eukaryota; Fungi; Ascomycota; Dothideomycetes; Pleosporales; Pleosporaceae. The record is from RNAcentral.